This 32-nucleotide non-coding RNA is filed under the name Homo sapiens (human). The record is from RNAcentral. Lineage: Eukaryota; Metazoa; Chordata; Mammalia; Primates; Hominidae.
UGGACGGACGGAUGGCCAGAUGAAUCAAAACU